UAUAUCUUCACAAGUCAUACUAGUUGGAUGAUUUGGUGAAUGCAGCGCGAGAUGAUUGUGAAACAUCAGAUCCAUCCAACCAUUCUAAGUGUGGACAUGCCAAUAAAAUAGCUUCAGCAUACAUUUUUCUUCUUGUUCUCCAUGCCUCAGACAAAGUGGAACUAAAGGCCAGCUCUUUCUCCUGCCAUUGCUUUUGCGGGUCUUCUUUUCUAUGAUGACCUUUUUGGUUGAUACUUUGUUGGUAUUUUGAGGCUGCAGAGAGCUCAUAAAUAGAGUCGUCAAUUACGGGAUAAAUGUUGAAAUUAAGAGGAUUCAUGCGCAGAUCCAGUACGUUUAACUGUUUCAGGUUUGCCAAUAUAUCACAUAAAUUUCGCAUCUUUUUGAUUCUAUUUCCCACUAAGUAAAGUCGGUGGAUCAUUUGCAAUGGUUUCAGCGACUCUAUGUCUGAUAUAUAGUUAUGUGAUAAGUCCAAUACACGUAAAUUGGGCAUACUGGUCGCAAUGUAUUUAGGUACUUCUUUGAGCUGAACGUUUGCAAGCUCCAGAUACCUCACUCCCAGAAACAUGUGCUUACAAUCAAGAGUAACGAAGGUGUUAUUCGAUAGGUAUAGAUUUCGAAUAUCUAAAGAGGGUUGAAUGACAAAAUUGGAGGCUUCAGGAUCUUGAGUCCUGAACGAAAAAUUGACUAAGCGUUUUAGUCGACGGAUGUCAGGGGGACGAUUAAAUCGAUUAAGGUCCAUGUAUAAAGUUCGUAAAUGAGGAAAUUGAUCUACCUCAAGUUGAUGUAUGGCGUUGUUGCUGAUGCGUAAAAUUCGCAAAUGAAUCAUUGGUUGGCUAGCUUUCAAGUUGGUUAGUUUGUUAUUGUCCAAUUGUAAAACCAUAAGGUUUUGAAGCGAACUUAUUUCUUCGAUUUCUUCUAUUUCGUUAUUUCCCAAGAGCAAUUCCUCAAGACGAUGAAGAUUGGAAUUCGUAAAUGACAAUUCUUUAAUCCUGUUAUUGCAAGCGCUUAAUUUUAGCAAUCCAUCCAAAUGUUGAAUCCCAUCUAAACUCCAUAGAUGAUUACUGUCAACUUUCAACUCACGAAGGUGAAUUAGAGAAGAAAGACCAGUAAGGUCCUCUAGUUGAUUAUAUGAUAUGUCCAGAUAUUGUAGGUUUAAUAGGUUGGAAAAUGAAGUCAAACUUGACAAUCGAUUUUCAACAGCAUUCAGGUCUCUUAUCGUAACGGGGCAUCCUGUUAAGUAAGCAAUUUCAUUUCCUUCCAACGUGAGCUCUUCAAUAGAGGGACAGAGUUCAGAAAGUCCAAUCAAGGAAUCCAAAUGUCGUCUACUGAUGUCUAAUUGUAUAAUCCUUUUCCAGAAAGGCUCAUAUGGUUCAACAUCAGAAAGAAUUUGAAUUAUGGAUUGACGAGAUACUGAAAAACUAUAUUCAGCAUCUUUGUCGGCUUUACUUUUCAAUCCAGAACCUGAAGAAAUAAAAGGAAUUGGUGACCCAUUUUCAUACCUGCCAUUAAACAUUUCAUCAAAGCUCUCAUUUUGUAAGGAUAAAUCGUGAAAGGAAGAUAAAAUUUGCGGAGCGUUUUCGCUAUUGUCUCUUAAUGAAUGCUUAGGAAAUUCGGAUUGAGCAACAUUUUGCUUACGCAAAGGAAAGGAAUGAGGUUGUUGCUUCUCCAAAUUGUUUGGAUCAUUGUUCGCUUGAUGUCUGGUGGAUGCCGCUUUAAACAGUAUUGUACGCUCAGGAUGCGAAAGACUAGCAUCUUCGUCGGUUUCAAAAUCAAAGCCCAAGUCUGAAUCAUGACCUUUUCUCCGCCACCGAUUGUGUAUCCUGUCAAAUUCCAUGGAGCCUUGAGUUGUAUCUAUGCCUUCAGGAAGAUCUGCUGGCGUUAUAACCACCAUAUUGGGAUAAUCAGACACUUUUCUUGAGCUUUGAGCAGAGUGACUUCUUCUGGUUUUAACACUGGAAGUUUUUAGCGUUGAUUUGGGAGAGCUAUUUAAUCGGGCAGUCUUGGAAGAGGAUUGUGAAGAGCCAACAUCAAUUUCCCGAAGUGGCAUUUUAUCGGUCAUAUAUGCCUGGCGUUGAGGGGAGGAAGAUGCGGAUGGAAAGGAAUCAUCAUUAUCAUUGAAAAUUGAGGUAACCCUUUUCAUACUUUGAAGACUUUUUAAAUGAAGUUGAUCACUUAAGGAGGGAAAUGCAUUAGAGCUAUCUUCUUGACUUACUUCAACUGAAAUUUCAUCUUGUUCCUCCUCCUCACGAAGUCCGCUGAGCUUUCGAGGAAGAAAAAUUGUAGAUUCUCGUCCCGAAUUAGGCAUUCUUCCUCGCAAUCUUGCCAUGACUUCUUCAACCUCUUGAUAGAGAUCUUUGGUAUUGAGGCUAGCCUUUCGUUCAGUUGUACGCAUAGGUUUUUGUGGUCUUCGUGGUUCAGGGAGUGAAAAUUGUUUUUCCCCAUUUUCAAAUGAAUUGGACUUUACAUCUUGAGUUAAUUGAUUCAAAUGCUCACGAGUAAACGGAUCACUAGCUCCUUGGAAAAGUUUAAGGGGGGAUGUAUUAUUGGGCUUCAAGGAGGGAGAAGAAACAACGGAUGAGGAUGACGAUGCAUUGCUAGCAUGGUCCGUAUUUUGCUUUUCGUGAACCGAGUUAGACCUGGUAUUAGAUUGUUGACUUUUCAAGCUUCCUUCUGAGUAUUUUUUGCUAAACUGAGAAGAGGAGAUAGAUUCUUUUUCGUAAUCCUGUGAAACGAAAGGAUCUUUAGAAGGAGAAGAUUGCAUGUUCGAUACAUUAGAUAGUUUACCAACUGAAGAAGAACUACGCCUAGAAGAGUUAUUACUGGACUUUUUGGACGGAUUUUUUGUUGGAGACUUUGAAGGGGGGCUUUGUUUGCUGCUUUCUUCAAACAUAUUUUCCAAAUCCAACCUUGCAAAAAUAUCACGAGCAACAGGGUUCUUUGCAUUCACCUGUUUCCAUUGAGGAACAUCCGGAGCAUCAUUUCUUCCUUUCUUAAACGUUCCAUGCUCUGUCGAAGUUCCUGAACUACCACGACCUGUAGAUUGAGUAUUGUUUACAUUUGAUGUGGUUGGUGGUUCACUAGAAUUGUCUGACCCUUGUUCUUGUGGCUGCGGAAUCCAUUCUUCACUUAAAUCAUGUUCAAGCCAUAACUGUUCCAUGAUUUCUGAAAAGCACACAUACCUUCCAUAGAAAAAAGAAGUUUUGUUUACGUCUAUGAGACGCGACGGGAUGUCGUGGUACUGGGACUCAAUCACCCUUUUGCACAAUUUGACAUAGGAUAUUCAAGCGUA
Molecule: long non-coding RNA, 3289 nt
Filed under: Schizosaccharomyces pombe (fission yeast)
Lineage: Eukaryota; Fungi; Ascomycota; Schizosaccharomycetes; Schizosaccharomycetales; Schizosaccharomycetaceae
Source: RNAcentral